UGGGGAAUAUUGGACAAUGGGGGGAACCCUGAUCCAGCCAUGCCGCGUGUGUGAAGAAGGCCUUAUGGUUGUAAAGCACUUUAAGCGAGGAGGAGGGUACUGGUAUUAAUACUACCAGCUACUGGACGUUACUCGCAGAAUAAGCACCGGCUAACUCUGUGCCAGCAGCCGCGGUAAUACAGAGGGUGCAAGCGUUAAUCGGAAUUACUGGGCGUAAAGCGCGCGUAGGUGGUUCGUUAAGUUGAAUGUGAAAGCCCCGGGCUCAACCUGGGAACUGCAUCCAAAACUGGCGAGCGAGAGUAGGGCAGAGGGUGGUGGAAUUUCCUGUGUAGCGGUGAAAUGCGUAGAUAUAGGAAGGAACACCAGUGGCGAAGGCGACCACCUGGGCUCAUACUGACACUGAGGUGCGAAAGCGUGGGGAGCAAACAGG
Molecule: ribosomal RNA, 430 nt
Filed under: Pseudomonadota bacterium
Lineage: Bacteria; Pseudomonadati; Pseudomonadota
Description: Proteobacteria bacterium partial 16S ribosomal RNA
Rfam family: Bacterial small subunit ribosomal RNA
Source: RNAcentral